RNAcentral lists this ribosomal RNA (206 nucleotides) under uncultured bacterium. Its description in RNAcentral is "partial 16S ribosomal RNA". It matches the Rfam family "Bacterial small subunit ribosomal RNA", at positions 568 to 774 of the family's 1533-position model. The record is from RNAcentral.
UGCGUAGGUGGCGCCGUAAGUCGGGUGUGAAAUUUCGGAGCUUAACUCCGAAACUGCAUUCGAUACUGCGGUGCUUGAGGACUGGAGAGGAGACCGGAAUUCAUGGUGUAGCAGUGAAAUGCGUAGAGAUCAUGAGGAAGACCAGUGGCGAAGGCGGGUCUCUGGACAGUUCCUGACACUGAGGCACAAGGGCCAGGGAGCGAACG